This 68-nucleotide small nucleolar RNA is filed under the name Neotoma lepida (desert woodrat). Its description in RNAcentral is "Small nucleolar RNA SNORD63". It matches the Rfam family "Small nucleolar RNA SNORD63". From Rfam's summary of the family: snoRNA U63 is found in both humans and mice. U63 is a member of the C/D class of snoRNA which contain C (UGAUGA) and D (CUGA) box motifs. Lineage: Eukaryota; Metazoa; Chordata; Mammalia; Rodentia; Cricetidae. The record is from Rfam by way of RNAcentral.
GUGCAAUGAUGCAUUAUAAACACAUCAUUCUGAAAACAGAUGUGUAGAGAAGGUAGUAACUGAGCACA